Molecule: ribosomal RNA, 450 nt
Filed under: uncultured organism
Description: partial 16S ribosomal RNA
Rfam family: Bacterial small subunit ribosomal RNA
Source: RNAcentral
GUACACUCCUGCGGGAAGCAGCAGUGGGGAAUCUUGCGCAAUGGGCGAAAGCCUGACGCAGCCAUGCCGCGUGAAUGAUGAAGGUCUUAGGAUUGUAAAAUUCUUUCACCGGGGACGAUAAUGACGGUACCCGGAGAAGAAGCCCCGGCUAACUUCGUGCCAGCAGCCGCGGUACUACGAAGGGGGCUAGCGUUGCUCGGAAUUACUGGGCGUAAAGGGAGCGUAGGCGGACAUUUAAGUCAGGGGUGAAAUCCCGGGGCUCAACCUCGGAAUUGCCUUUGAUACUGGGUGUCUUGAGUAUGAGAGAGGUGUGUGGAACUCCGAGUGUAGAGGUGAAAUUCGUAGAUAUUCGGAAGAACACCAGUGGCGAAGGCGACACACUGGCUCAUUACUGACGCUGAGGCUCGAAAGCGUGGGGAGCAAACAGGAUUAGAAACCCCGGUAGUCCCA